GAUGAACGCUAGCUACAGGCUUAACACAUGCAAGUCGAGGGGAAACGCCAUCGAAAGCUUGCUUUUGCUGGGCGUCGACCGGCGCACGGGUGAGUAACGCGUAUCCACUCUGCCCACCACUUGGGGAUAACAUUGCGAAAGUAAGACUAAUACACAAUGAUAUCUCUAGAAGACAUUUGAAAGAGACUAAAGAUUUAUCGGUGAUGGAUGGCGAUGCGUCUGAUUAGCUUGUUGGCGGGGUAACGGCCUACCAAGGCAACGAUCAGUAGGGGUUCUGAGAGGAAGGCCCCCCACAUCGGAGCUGAGACACGGUCCAAACUCCUACGGGAGGCAGGAGUGAGUAAUGCUGGGCAAUGGACGAUAGUCUGAACCAGCCAAGUAGCGUGCAGGAAGACGGCGCUAUGGGUUGUAAACUGCUUUUAUAAGGGAAUAAAGUGAGUCUCGUGAGACUUUUUGCAGGUACCUUAUGAAUAAGGACCGGCUAAUUCCGUG
RNAcentral lists this ribosomal RNA (492 nucleotides) under uncultured bacterium. RNAcentral's name for it is "partial 16S ribosomal RNA". It matches the Rfam family "Bacterial small subunit ribosomal RNA", at positions 28 to 507 of the family's 1533-position model. The record is from RNAcentral.